GGAAGUCGGAGAGGAAACGAACGCAGGGAGUUCUCCGGCAGGCUGUCUUACACUUCCUCACGGAUGCAGGAGACCGGGUAAGCCCUUCCAGUCUCCCUCCGCAGGCGGGAGGCGACGCUAACUAAGCAGACAGCCAGAAGCGUAGAGGACUACCGUGAAGCGACUUGUAUUGAGAUCAUUACCUGCAUAUACAGCAAAAUCAAACCAGAUUCCAGCACCAUUGUGCCCAAUGGAUCUCUGGAGAAAACAGACUCCUUGACACGGAAAGUUUUGCAGGCGGUUUUAACUCCUUUCCUGGGACCACUUAGAAGCCUCCCAUUUCAAGUGAAUUGCAAUGCUUUGCCCUCUAAGUACAGAGAAAUUAGAAUCUUAGGAUGUAAUAUUUUUUAGUAAAAAAAAAAAAGUUGGCAAUUUUAAGGUCUUUUGCUACCAGCAACACAUUCAGUAGAAGACCCCUUACAAAGCAAAUUAUUUGAACUUCAAAAACCAUUAGUGUGCUUGACAAAUGUUCCCUCAAAGUUUCAAAACUACACUUCUUGUGUAAUUUUCAUAAAAACAUACACAGUAAUUAUGCCAGUUUCUCAUGUAUAUGUGCUGUAGGAGAAAUUUUUGUCCUUUGUAAUGUUUAGGGCUGUUCAGUCUAAAUGACUGAGCUGUCUGGCUUAAGGAGGCCUUCAGUGUAACUUUCCGUGAAUGACUGAUAAACACAAUAAAGACCUACUGCAAUGAAAACAUUCUCCAAUGCAGAGAACUGUGGCAGGAAAGAGUUAAGUUUCAUUCAUUCAAAAGUGCUCUUCCAGAAGUCUAAGAGGCUUUUACUAGAGGGAAUGGGAUCUUUAAGGUUUAGUUGGGAGGGGGUCUUACUUUUCAAGACAAUAAACUGUCAGGUUUUUCUGGGCCCUAUCCAAGUCAACUCACCAGUUAUUACUUAGAAAACGUUUUUCUUUUUUCCUGUAGUAGAGUUUCAGUAUUGUUUCCUCCAUAAUGAAGUGACUAGGAGUAGAUGCACCACAGGGUGGGAGGAGGCGGUGGAGAGAGAAUGGAGAGGAGCGUUCCUGGCUUCUGUUGCGGCGUCUUUUCUAUUUGACUUCAUGGUUGUAAGUAUUUCCAGAUGGUGAAUCAGACACCAGACGUAACAAUAUUUCCAUAUUUGGGUAUAGCAGUAGCCUGCGUUUUUAACAUUUUUCUGCCUCUGUUAUCCAACCACAAAGCAUUCUUGACAGCUUCAAAUGUUGUUAAAUAUAGACUUAACUUCUGUUCCCAGGGCAGGAAAUUCUUUGGAAUUCCUUGUUUUUCAUGCAAUCUGUCUAUCAUAAUUUAAAAAUGAAAUUAGGACAGAUGAUCCAACUGGCUCAUGUAUACACCUUGUUCCUUUAUGGAAGUUGUAUAGGGGGUGGGGGCAAGGGAGAGCUCAGAAAGAUGCAAUGUGCAGCACAGCAUUCCCAAACACACCAUUCCAGAGAUUCCAUUAAAAAUCAGAUUAAAGUUUUCUAACAAGAGUGUGUGGGUUUGUUUCUGGACUUCAUCUGGGGAAUCUUGGAGGAUGAGUUUGCCUCAGAGGAGAAGCUUACAGAACCUCACCGUCAGCUGCUCAUUUAAAGCAGGGGGUGUGUUGUGGGAGUGGGUGGGAAGCCGGAGCAAGCAGGGCCAGGACUGGGGAGCCGGAGAGACAGGAGUAACCUAUGUGCACAGCCUUUCCCUACACUAUGUCCUGGUGUGACUGCUAGUAAACGACAGCAUCAGACAAGAGGAAUAGCAGCUCCUCAAGUCCUGUUCCAGGAAGGUCCAGAAACCCCAAACGUCCGGUUGCCUUCUCGCCUCCUCUGCUGAGAGCUGCAGAGCAGCUCACGUUGACAGAUUGAAAGUUUCAGCUGUACAGAAAAGGAGCUCUGGCAACUUCUGCUGAGACUUUUCGGUAGGAAAAGCUUCCCAAAAAAAAGCGACAGCUAUUUUGAAGGCCAACUUGCUAAAAUUAUAUUCAGAUGGCGUUCUCCAUGCCAUGGGGAAGAUGGCUCCUAGCAACCUCGAUCUCCUCUCAUCUAAGCAGCUCUUCUAUCAGCAAAGAAAGUAGGCUUCUUCCUUUUUGGUUUCCAAUCUGAAAACAAUUUCAAGCAUGAUUUGCACGGGAUCAACUUAAGUCACAUACUCCUCCUCAAACCGUGACAACCAGGAAGAUGAGGUCCAUGAAUCAAGGCAAAUUGGAAGUGGUCAAACAGGAGAUGUCAAGAGUGAAUGUUGACAUUCUAGGAAUCAGCGAACUAAAAUGGACUGGAAUGGGUUAAUUUAACUCAGAUGACCAUUAUAUCUACUACUGUGGGCAGGAAUCCCUUAGAAGAAAUGGAGUAGCCAUCAUGGUCAACAAAAGAGUCUGAAAUGCAGUACUUGGAUGCAAUCUCAAAAACAACAGAAUGAUCUCUGUUCAUUCCAAGGCAAACCAUUCAAUAUCAUGGUAAUCUAAGCCUAUGCCCUGACCAGUAACGCUGAAGAAGCUGAAGUUGAACGGUUCUAUGAAGACCUACAAGACCUUUUAGAAUGAACACCCAAAAAAGACGUCCUUUUCAUUAUAGGGGACUGAAAUGCAAAAGUAGGAAGCCAAGAAACACCUGGAGUAACAGGCAAAUGUGGCCUUGGAGUACAGAAUGAAGCAGGGCAAAAGCUAAUAGAGUUUUGCCAAGAGAAUGCACUGGUCAUAGCAAAUACCCUCUUCCAACAACACAAGAGAAGACUCUACACAUGGACAUCACCAGAUAGUCAACACCGAAAUCAUAUUGAUUAUAUUCUUUGCAACCAAAGAUGGAGAAGCUCUAUACAGUCAGCAAAAACAAGACCAGGAGCUGACUGUGGCUCAGAUCAUGAACUCCUUAUUGCCAAAUUCAGACUUAAAUUGAAGAAAGGAGGGAAAAUCACUAGAUCAUUCAGGUAUGACCUAAAUCAAAUCCCUUAUGACUAUACAGUGGAAGUGAGAAAUAGAUUUAAGGGACUAGAUCUGACAGACAGAGUGCCUGAUGAACUAUGGAUGGAGGUUAAUGACAUUGUACAGGAGACAGGGAUCAAGACCAUCCCCAUAGAAAAGAAAUGCAAAAAGGCAAAAUGGUUGUCUGAGGAGGCCUUACAAAUAAGUCUGAAAAGAAGAGAAGUGAAAAGCAAAGGAGAAAAGGAAAGAUAUACCCAUUUGAAUGCAGAGUUCCAGAGAAUAGCAAGGAGAGAUAAGAAAGCCUUCCUCAGAGAUCAAUGCAAAGAAAUAGAGGAAAACAACAGAAUGGGAAAGACUAGAGAUCUCUUCAAGAAACUUAGAGAUACCAAGGGAACAUUUCAUGCAAAGAUGGGUUCGAUAAAGGACUGAAAUAGUAUGGACCUAACAAAAGCAGAAGAUAUUAAGAAGAGGUGGCAAGAAUACACAGAAGAACUGUACAAAAAAGAUCUUCAUGACCCAGAUAAUCACAAUGGUGUGAUCACUGGCCUAGAGCCAGACAUCCUGGAAUGUGAAGUCAGGUGGGCCUUAGGAAGCAUCACUAUGAACAAAGCUAGUGGAUGUGAUGGAAUUCCAGUUGAGCUAUUUCAAAUCCUGAAAGAUGAUGCUGUGAAACUGCUGUACUCAAUAUGCCAGCAAAUUUGGAAAACUUAGCAGUGACCACAGGACUGGAAAAGGUCCGUUUUCAUUCCAAUCCCUAAGAAAGGCAAUGCCAAAGAAUGCUCAAACUACCGCACAAUUGCACUCAUCUCACACGCUAGUAAAGUAAUGCUCAAAAUUCUGCAAGCCAGGCUUCAGCAAUACGUGAACCGUGAACUUCCACAUGUUCAAGCUGGUUUUAGAAAAGGCAGAGGAACCAGAGAUCAAAUUGCCAACAUCCUCUGGAUCAUCAAAAAAGCAAGAGAGUUCCAGAAAAACAUCUAUUUCUGCUUUAUUGUCUGUGUCAAAGCCUUCAACUGUGUGGAUCACAAUAAACUGUGGAAACUUCUGUAAAAGAUGGGAAUACCAGACCACCUGACCCACCUUUUGAGAAACCAAUAUGCCGGUCAGGAAGCAACAGUUAGAACUGGACAUGGAAAAACAGACUGGUUCCAAAUAGGGAAAGGAGUACGUCAAGGCUGUAUAUUGUCACCCUGCUUAUUUAACUUAUAUGCAGAGUACAUCAUGAGAAACACUGGGCUGGAGGAAGCACAAGCUGGAAUCAAGAUUGCCAGGAGAAAUAUCAAUAACCUCAGAUAUGCAGGUGACACCACCCUUAUGGCAGAAAGUGAAAAGGAACUAUAAAGCCUCUUGAUGAAAGUGAAAGAGGAGAGUGAAAAAGUUGGCUUAAAGCUCAACAUUCAGAAAACUAAGAUCAUGGCAUCUGGUCCCAUCACCUCAUGGGAAAUAGAUGGGGAGACAGUGGAAGCAGUGUCAAACUUUAUUUUUCUGGGCUCCAAAAUCAGUGCAGAUGGUGAUUGCAGCCAUGAAAUUAAAAGAUGCUUACUCCUUGGAAGGAAAGUUAUGACCAACCUUGAUAGCAUAUUAAAAAGCAGAGACAUUACUUUGCCAACAAAGGUCUGUCUAGUCAAGGCUAUGGUUUUUCCAGUGGUCAUGUAUGAAUGUGAGAGGUGGACUGUGAAGAAAGCUGAGCGCCGAAGAAUUAAUGCUUUUGAACUGUGGUGUUGGAGAAGACUCUUGAGAGUCCCUUGGACUGCAAGGAGAUCCAACCAGUCCAUCCUAAAGGAGAUCAGUCCUGGGUGUUCAUUGGAAGGACUGAUGCUGAGGCUGAAACUCCAGUACUUUGGCCACCUCAUGCGAAGAGUUGACUCAUUGGAAAAGACUCUGAUGCUGGGAGGGAUUGGGGGCAGGAGGAGAAGGGGACGACAGAGGAUGAGAUGGCUGGAUGGCAUCACUGACUCAAUGGACAUGAGUUUGAGUAAACUCCUGGAGUUGGUGAUGGACAAGGAGGCCUGGCGUGCUGUGAUUCAUGGGGUUACAAAGAGUCCGACACGCCUGAGUGACUGAACUGAACUGAACUGAACUGUUGUAGUUGUCAGUUUUAUUGGCACUAUGAAAUGUAGUUAAGCUUUUGAAGUUUUUUUUUUCAGUCACAUUUUUUAUUAUUGCUAUAAACAUAUGCCUCUAUGUUUAUCUUUUGCAGUUCUGUGGAGUUUUUCUUUCUUUUUUUUUCCUCCUUUCUCUUUUUUUAAUUUUAAGUUUUUAAACCUAUUAUAUUUUUAUUCCUUUGUUUGCCUUUCUACUGUUCUUUUCCCCUUGCAGUCAAUCUUUAAUGUAUAUAAAUCUUCUUCAUCUACCUCUAUUUAACUUUUCAUAUCUAUUCUUUCUUUUCUUUCUUUCCUUUCCUCUCAACAUAUUUGUUAGUUUUGUUUUCAUUGCUUUAUUUCCCACUUAGCACUCUGCUUUAGUUUUGUUUUCCAAUAUGUGCUUUAGUUAGUUUUGUUCUUAAUUGGUAAAUAUAAUUUUUUAUUUCCUUUGUUCAUCAGGUCAAUCUACUCUAUUUUUGUUGGACUGUUUUGACUUUGCUUAUAGGUGUCUAUGUAUAUGUGUAUGUUCCAUUAUUUUAAUUAUCAUUUGUCUGAUUUUGUAACUGCCAUUUGUCUGGGGUUCCUCUUUGGUUUCUCAUUUUGGGGUAUUUGUUUUAUUCUCACUUAAUACCAUAUGCCAUAUGCCAUACCAUAUGCCAUAACAAAUUACUUGUGGAAUCUUCAUUCCUGACCAGAGAUCAAGCCCUGAGUCUUCAGAGUGGGAGCACUGACUCCAAGACCCUAGACUACCAGAGAACUAACCCUAGGGAGUAUCAAAUAGUGGGAACUCACACAAAGGAAAUCACUUGACUACAAGAUCCAGCAUCACCCAAUCACCAGUAGCAUCCUGUGAAGGAUGCCUCAUCUGAGGAAAAACAAACAAACAAAACAACUCAGCGCAAAUCUCACCCUAUACUAAGCUUACACAAACCACUGGACCAAACUUAGGAGGUCAGAAACCAAAAGGAAGGAAGAAUUCAACCUUGAAGCCUAGGAAAAGGAGACUUCAAACACAAUAAGUUUAAAAAAAAUUAAUGAAAAGGCAGAGAAAUACUACACAAAUGAAAAACAAACUAGAAACACAGAAAUCCAAAUAAAUGAACAGGAAAUAGGCAAACUACCUGAAAAAGAAUUCAGACUAAUGAUAGUAAAAAUGAUAAAAAUCCUUGAAAACAAAAUGGAAAAAAAUGCAAGAACCAAUCAACAAAGACCUAGAAGAAUUAAAGAAUAAACAUGCAGAGGAAAACAACACAAUUACUGAAAUUAAAAAUACUCUAGAAGGAAUUAAUAGCAGAAUAUCUGAAGCAGAAGAACAGGUCAGUGAGCUGGAAGAUAAAUUGGUGGAAAUAACUUCUGAAGAGCAGAAUAAAGUAAAAAGAAUGAUAAUAACUGAGGAUGGUCUCAGAGACCUCUGGGACACUAUCACAUGCACCAACAUUCAAAUCAUAGGGGUCCCAGAAGAAGAAGAGAAGAAGAAAGGGUUUGAGAAAAUUUUUUGAAGAGAUUAUAGUUGGAAAUUUCCCCAAUAUGGAAAAGGAAAUAGUCAAUCAAGUCCAAGAGGCACAAAGAGUCCCAAACAGGACAAACCCAAGGAGAAACACGCCAAGACACAUACUAAUCAGACUAAUGAAGACUAACCACAAAGAAAUAAUAUUAAAAGCAUCAAGGGAAAAGCAACAAGUAACAUACAAGGGAAACCCCAUAUGGUUAACAGCUGAUCUUUCAACAGAAACUCUGCAGGCCAGAAGGGAAUGGCAGGAUAUAGUUAAAGUACUGAAAGGAAAAAAUCUACAGCCAAGAUUACUGUACCCAGCAAGGGUCUCCUUCAAAACUGAUGGAGAAACAAAAAGCUUUUCAGACAAGCAAAAGUUAAGAGAAUUCAGUACCACCAAACCAGCUUUACAACAAAUGUUAAAGAGUCUUAUAUAGACAAGAAAUACAAGAGAAGAAAAAGAUCUACAAAAUCAGCCCCAAACAAUUAAGAAAAUGGCAAGAGGAACAUAUAUAUCAAUAAUUACUUUAAAUGUAAACAGAUUAAAUGCUCCAACCAAAAGACACAGACUGGCUGCAUGGAUACAAAAAUAAGACCCAUAUAUAUGUCUACUAGAAACCCUCUUCAGACCUAAAGACACAUAUAGAUUGAAAGUGAGAAGAUGGAAAAAUACAUUCCAUGCAAAUAGGAAGCAAAAGAGAGCUGGAGUAGCAAUCCUCAUAUCAGACAAUAUAAACCUUAAAAUAAAGAAGAUUAUAAGAGAUAAGGAAGGACACUACAUAAUAAUCAAGGGAUCAAUCCAAGAAGAAGACAUAACAAUUGUAAAUAUCUAUGCAACCAAUGUAGGAGCACCUCAUACAUAAGACAAACACUAACAGACAUAAAAGGAGAAAUUGACAGUAACACAAUAAUAGUAGGAGAUUUUAACACCUCACUCAUACCAAUGGACAGAUGAUCAAAAUAGAAAAUUAAUAAGGAAACACAAGUCUAAAAUGACACAUUAGAUGAGAUGGAUCUCAUUGAUAUCUUCAGGACAUUUCAUCCAAAUCCAGAAGAAAACACCUUCUUCUCAAGUGCAUGUGGAACAUUCUCCAGGAUAGACCACAUCUUGGGUCACAAACCAAACCUCAGUAACUUUAAGAAAAUUGAAAUCAUAUCAAGCAUCUUCUCUAACCACAAUGCUGAGACUGGAUAUCAAUUACAAAAAAAAAAAAAAUUGUAAGAAACACAAACACAUGGAGAUUAAACAACACAUUUCUAAAUAAUCGACAGGUUACUGAAGAAAUCAAAAGGGAAAUAAAAAAAUUUUAGAAACAAAUGACAAUGAAAACAUGACAACUCAAAACCUAUGGGAUGCAGCAAAAGCAGUUCUAAGAGGGAAGUUUAUAGCGAUACAAUCCUACCUCAAGAAGCAAGAAAAACAUCAAGUAGACAACCUAACUUUACACCUAAAACAACUGGAAAAAGAAGAAGAAGAACAACAAAAAAAAACCCCAAAAUUAGUAGAAGGAAAGAAAUCAUAAAUAUCCAAGCAGAAAUAAAUGAAAAAGAAAUGAAAGAAACAAUAGUAAAGAUUAAUAAAACUAAAAGUUGGUUCUUUGAGAAGAUAAACAAAAUUGACAAACCUUUAGCCAGACUCAUCAAGAAAAAAAGAGAGAAGAAUCAAAUCAACAAAAUUAGAAAUGAAAAAGGAGAGGUUACAACAGACAGUGCAGAAAUACAAAGGAUUAUAAGAAACAAUUAUUAUAGACAGCUAUGUGGCAAGAACCUGGAAGAAAUGAACAGAUUCUUAGAAAAGUUCCAUCUUCUAAGACUGAGCCAAGAAGAAAUAGAAAUUAUGAACAACCCAAUUACAAGCACUGAAAUUGAAGCUGUGAUCAAAAAUCUCCCAUAAAACAAAAGCCCAGGACCAGAUGGCUUCACAGGAGAAUUCUGUCAGACAUUUAGAGAAGAGCUAAUGCCUAUCCUUCUAAAACUCUUUCAAAAAAUUGCAGAGGAAGAAACACUUCCAAAAUCAUUCGAUGAGGCCACCAUCACCCUGAUACCAAAGCCAGAAAAAGAAAACCCAAAAAAAGAAAAUCACAGGCCAGUAUCACUGAUGAACAUAGAUGCAAAAGUCCUCAACAAAAUUUGAGCAAAUAGAAUUCAGCAACACAUCAAAAAGCUCAUAUACCAUGAUCAAGUUGGGUUUAUUCCAGAGACGCAAGGAUUCUUCAAUAUAUGCACAUCAAUCAAUGUGAUACACCAUAUUAACAAAUUAAAAGAUAAAAACCAUAUGAUAAUCUCAAAAGAUGUAGAAAAAGCUUUUAACAAAGUUCAACACCCAUUUAUGAUUAAAACUCUUCAAAAAAUAGGCAUAGAAGGAAUCUACCUCAACAUGAAGUGAAAAGUGAAGUCUCUCAGUUGUGUCCAACUCUUUGUGACCCCCAGGGACUGUAACCUACCAGGCUCCUCUAUCCAUGAGAUUUUCCAGGCAAGAGUACUGGAGUGGGUUGCCAUUUCCUUCUCCAGGGGAUCUUUCUGACUGAGGGAUUAAACCCAGGUCUCCCACAUUGCAGGCAGAUGCUUUACCAUCUAAGCCACCAGGGAAACCUCAACAUAGUAAAGGCCAUAUAUUAUAAGCCUCUGGCAAACGUUAUUCUCAAUGGGGAAAGACUGAAAGCAUUCCCCUAAGAUCAGGAACAAGACAAGGGUGUCCACUUUCACCACUAUUAUUCAACAUAGUUCUGGAAGUUCUAGCUACAGCAAUCAGAAAAGAAAAAGAAGUAAAAGGAAUCCAGAUUGGAAAAGAAGACGUAAAGCUCUCACUGUUUGCAGAUGACAUGAUACUGUACAUGGAAAACCCUAAAGAUAGUAUCAGAAAAUUACUAGAGCUAAUCAAUUAAUUUAGCAAAGUUUCAGGAUACAAAAUCAAUACACAGAAAUCACUUGCAUUUCUAUAUAUUCACAAUGAAAAAUCAGAAAGAGAAAUUAAGGAAUCAAUCCCAUUCACCAUUGCAACAAAAAUAAUUAAAUAUCUAGGAAUAAACUUACCUAAAGAGACAAAAGAACUGUACACAGAAAAUUAUAAGACACAGAUGAAAGAAAUUAAAGACAACAUAAACAGAUGGAGAGAUAUUCCAUGUUCCUGGGUAGGAAGAAUCGAUAUUGUGAAAAUGACUAUAUUAUCAAAUGUGAUCUACAGAUUCAAUGCAAUCCCUAUCAAAUUACCAAUGGCAUUUUUCACAGAACUAGAACAAAAAAUUUCACAAUUCAUAUGGAAACACAAAGGGCCCUGAAUAGCCAAGUAAUCUUAAAAAUAAAAAAUGAAGCCAAGGAAUCAACCUUCCUGAAUUCACACUACAGUACAAACCUACAGUCAUCAAGAUAGUAUGGCACUGGCACAAAAACAGAAGUAUAGACUAAUGGGACAAGAUAGAAAGCCCCAAAAUAAAUCCAUGCACCAAUGGGUACCUUAUUUUUAACAAAGGAGGCAAGAAUAUACAAUGAGGCAAAGACAGCCUGUUCAAUAAAUGGUGCUGGGAAAACUGGACAGCUACAUGUAAAAGAAUGAAGUCAGAACACUUCCUAACAUCAUACACAAAGAUAAACACAAAAUGGAUUAAAGACCUAAAUGUUAAGACCAGAAACUAUAAAACUCUUAGAGGAAAACAGGCAGAACACUCGAUUACAUAAAUCAAAGCAAGAUCCUCUAUGACCCACCUCCUAGAGUAAUGGAAAUAAAAACAAAAGUAAACAAGUGGGACCUGAUUAAACUUAAAAGCUUUUGCACAGCAAAGGAAACUAUAAGCAAAGUGAAAAGACAACCCUCAGAAUGGGAGAAAAUAAUAGCAAAUGAAAAAACUAACAAAGGAUUAAUUUCCAAUAUAUAUAAGGAACUCAUACAACUCAAUGUCAGAAAAACAAACAACCCAAUCAAAAAGUGGGGGAAAGACCUAAAUAGACAUUCCUCCAAAGAAGACAUACAGAUGGCUAACAAACACAUGAAAAGAUGCUCAACAUUGCUCAUUAUUAGAGACAUGCAAAUCAAAACCACAAUGAGAUAUCCCCUCACACCGGUUAGAAUGGCCAUCAUCAAAAAGUCUACAAACAAUAAAUGCUGGAGAGGGUGUGGAAAAAAGGGAACCCUCUUGCACUGUUGCUGGGAAUGUGAAUUGAUACAGCCACUGUGGAAGAUGGUAUGGAUAUUCCUUUAAAAACUAGGAAUAAAACCACCAUAUGACCCAGAGAUCCCAGUCCUAGGCAUAUACCCUGAGGAAACCAAAAUUGAAAAAGACACAUGUAUCUCAUUGUUCAUUGCAGCACUAUUUACAAUAGCUAGAACAUGGAAGCAACCUAGAUGUCCAUUGGCAGAUGAAUGGAUAAAGAGGUUGUGGUACAUAUACAGAAUGGAAUAUUACUCAGUCAUAAAAAGGAACACAUUUGAGUCAGUCCUAAUGAGGUGCAUGAACUUAGAACCUAUUAUACAGAGUGAAAUAAGUCAGAAAGAGAAAGAUAAAUAUCAUAUUCUAGUGCAUAUAUAUGGAAUCUAGAAAAAUGGUACUGAAGAAUUUACUUACAGGGCAACAAUGGAGAAACAGACAUAGAGAAUAGACUUAUGCACAUGGGGAGAGGGGAGGAGAGGGUGAGAUGUAUGGAAAGAGUAACAUGGAAACUUGCAUCACCAUAUGUAAAAUAGAUAGCCAAGGGGAAUUAGCUGUGUGGCUCAGAGCUCAGGGGCUCUGCAUCAACCUAGAGGGGCGGGGUGGGGAGGGAGACGGGAGGGAGGUCCAAAAGGGAGGGGAUAUAUGCAUACCUAUGGCUGAUUCAUGUUGAGGCUUGACAGAAAACAACAAAAUUCUGUAAAGCAAUUAUCCUUCAAUAAAAAAAUAAAAAAUAUAAUUUGCAUCUUCAAAUAAGUAUCUUAUUAGAACAACAUUUGUAACAUAUUUGAUUUAGAAAGCUGAGAUUUUGAGGAUCCAAUGAUGGACUAAUGAAUGUGUAUUAAACCUAUUGCUUGUGUUUUGAUACCUUUCCAGCAAUCAUCAGUAUAUAAUUAUUCCAGCCUAUGUGGACCCUCAUCAGAAACAUCACCUAUCAAUCUCUAACUUUAUUUCUGCCAUUCCUGUUAGCUAAGAAUGAUUAAAGACAGCUUCACUUUUCCUAGUUCCAGCCUUAAAGAUGUAUGAUGUACUAACAGCGUACUGUGGAGCUGUAAAAAAGAAUAGGAAAGCUCCUUAUGUCUUGUAUGGAAAGGUCUUUGUGUGUACUGAAUUAUUUGUGUCUCCCCAAAGUUCAUGUUGACCACCUAGUGUGAUGGUAUUUGGGUAUAGGGCCUUUUGGGGGUAAUUAGGUUUAGAUGAGGCUGUGCAGGUGGUGCCCUCAUGGUGGGAUUGCUCCCCUUAUGCUCCUAAAGUAAGAGACACCAGAGAGCUUGCUGCCUUUCUUUGCCAUGUGAGGACACAAUGAGAAGACGGCUAUCUGCAAACAGGAAAAGAGUUAUCCACAGAACCUGACCAUACAGGCAUCCUGAUCUAUUAUUUGCAGCCUCAGAACUGUGAGAAAAUAUAUAUCUGCUAUUUAAGCCAUCCAGUGUAUGGGAUUUUGUUAUGAGAGCCUGAACUGACUAAUUAGUUGCCAAGAUUUAUUUUUAAGUGGGGAGAAAGAGGUGCCAAAAUAGUGUACUCUUGAGGUAAAAAAAAAGAAGGGAAAAUAAUCUAUGCUUGUGUUGGCUUGUAUAUACAUUUGAAAAAUCCUGGGAAGUAAAUGAGAAACUAAUAAUGUUGGUUAGUUAUUUUAGGGAGAUAGGAAUUUGGCAGAUAGAAGACAGGGCCGGAAAAGAGACAUGGGUGUACAUCAUUUUAUAUUUUUGAUGUUCAAAGUAUGUGACUGUGUUACCACUUCAAGACAUUAAAUAAAUGCAACUUAUUAAAAAUAAUAACAAAACAUUUUAUUUGGGAAAACAAGAUUAUAUUGAAAUAAGGAAAAUAACUGUUCAUAUUGAAAGAAGAUUUUUGAUUAGCAGAAUAAUUAUAGCAGAAGUUGACAUUUGAUGCAGGCACAAUUUGAAGAACAUGAAGGAAUAUGAACUAUUAACUGUAUUAAAUCGCUUUCUCAGUCAGUUCUUUAGUAAUCCUCAUGAUGAUAUAGAUAGCUCUUAUCAUCUACUGCCCCUUUCUUGGAUCUGCAUUGGUUACUGCCAGUAGAGCUUGAAGUACACCACGUGCAUCCAUUUGGUUGAAAGAUGAUGGCAACAGGUUCUCAAGUGUUCUCUCAGUAAUGCCCAGAAUGUCUCUGAGAGUAAUACCUCCUCCUUCAACUUCCCUCAGUGGGUGAUCCAUAUUCACGCAUACAACCACUGAGAAGAGGACCCAGUCUCUUCCAUGGACAAAGAUGUAAAUUUUCCCACAACUUACUUUGGCCAGUUAUUGUCCUAGAGACAUUAUAGCAUACCACCCCAAAGAGGGGCUUCCCUGGUGGCUCAGUGGUAAAGAAUCUGCUUGCAAUGCAGGAGUUGCAGGAGACCCAGUUUCAAUCCCUGGGAUGGGAAGAUCCCCUGGAAGAGGACAUGGCAACCCACUACAGUAUUCUUGCCUGGAGAAUCCGAUGGACAGAGGAGCCUGGUGGGCUACAGCCCAUAGGGUUGCACAUGACUGAAGCGACUUAGCACGCACACACCCCAAAGAGGUCUUUUAUUUCUGUUUAAUGUCUAAUCAUAGAUUUCUUCUUCGUUGGUCAUCUAGCCUUCGCCUGACUCUCUACACCCAUAGACUCAUUUUGAGUUGUGUGCCAUGACCCGAAAGUGCUUUUUCUCUGUCUCCAUGCCUUUGUAAAUACCAUUUCCAUUGCUUGGACCACCUUCUAUUUGUUACUUAUGAUGAAGCUCCCCCAAAUAGAGAUAGCGUUUUUCCUGAUAUCAUCCUAUAUUUAUUGAACCCCAUUGAGAUGUUCUACAUGAUUAUUCCUUCCUAUUAGAUUCAAGACAUUCAGCAGGAGCCAUAGCAUAUUCAUUUUGUAUCCUCAAUGCGAUAUCCAUUAGGCACUUGAUGGUUGAAUGAAUGAGCCUGGCUGAAAUGUUAAAGACAAAAAAAUCACAGUACUCUCUAAUAAAAUCCCUUUCAAUGCUUAGGGGAAGUGCUUCGCAAGAAGUUUCUAACUCUGCACCGUAAGUGUGUUAUUGAGCCCCUGAUUGAUUCGUAAGAGCUGAAUUCUGUCAGGACCAUGCUCCAUGAAUCUUUUGAUAUUUUGGAGUGUGUUCAAUUUUGUAGAUUUUUUUGGUGUGUGGUUUGAAAACUGCAUCUCCAAACUAAGGCAUUUCUAUGAGGAUCCCCUCUGUUUAAGUGCCUUUUAUUUCUCACAUUUUAAAGCAAGAUGACAGCUCUCAAUCCAGUGGAUUUUCAUCCUUAUCUCCAGAAAACCACAUUUGUUAUGCUUUGUGGUGAUGUAAGUUACAUAUCUACAGACAUCGCUUUGUGGAAGUGAGACUUCAGCUAGAACCUGCAUCCACAUUUGCUGGCCAGAGAGCCAGAGUGGCACCGGGGUAAUUGCCACUGCUUUGUAGUUAGAUAUCUUUCUCAAAGAUACCCUUUUAAAAUGUGAAAUUUGCAGAAAACAAAUCAUUAAUAUUUUUUCUAGCUGAAAGAAUUCACUUCCAAACUAAAGAGGCUGAUUUUGGAGAGUCUCAGCUGUGUCAAUAAUCUACCAGAGACACAUUUUACAAUUAGGCUCAUUAUCUUUUCUUAAUUCAGUUUACCCUAAACAGAGUAGAUAAAGAUAAAUGCUUAAACUUUUCCAUAUUAAGACAUGCUUGUAUAAAUAUGGCCUCAUAAGAAUUUGUUCUCAGAGUUCAUUGACUUUAAUUGUCCUACUGAUGCUUUGUCCAUUGACAUAUCUAAUAGGUAGUAUUCAUUUUCUAUAGUAUCUUGAGAUUCUAAUACAUAGCAUGAUGACUUUAGUUAGUAACACUAUAUUGUAUACUGGAAAUUUGCUAAGAGAGUCAACUUUAGGUGCCUUCACCAAACACACAAAAAGUGCUAAAUGUGUUAGGAGAUGGAUACAUUAAUUAGCUUUAUUGUAGUAAUCAUUUCACUGUGUAUAUGUAUUAUCAAAAUAUGAUAUUGUGCUCCUUUAAUAUAUACAAUUGUUAUUUUAAGAAACUAGAUUUGCAUUAGAUUGCAUGCAGAAGGAGAUAGGAGAAUUCAACUAUCCUCUAUUUAGCAAAAAUGUAAUAUAAUGUCACUAUAAUACAUGUAAUAAUGGAUACAUUCUUUGGAGGUUGGUUUUUCUUUUCCCACUAAAAAGCAUUACUUGUAUUCCCCUAAAAAAUAUCAAAACAAAACAUUUUCUAUAGUAAGGGACAGUGUCAUAAGCCUGAGUUCAAUAUACUAUUGAGCAUAAUCCUGACACUUUUCUCAGUAUCAAUAGUCUGCUGACUCUUGGUGACAUGUGGUUGAAGGCAAAACUUCAACAAUAUUUACUGGAUCUUAGUUCUAAUGCCAUUUAUUAUAAGCUUUGGAGAUAAAAAGAAAAGUUCUGAAAUACUUCUCCCUUCCCAGAACUUUAGUUAUUUUGCAGUUACCAAGUCUGAAAAAUCUCUGGAUUUGCCCCCCUUCAGGAAAGUGUGUCUUAAUUAAAUAAUUAGGCCCUUUUAAGGAUCAGUUCCCUGUGGGUUGCUUCUAUAAUUGCCUCUUCACUCAUCAGCUAAAAACCUCCCUAGGCUGUUUCUUGUUCGUUCUCAAUAUAAUGUUUUACCUAUUUAGUUCAUGCCGUUGUGUUUGUAUAGCUUAUAUGUUUUUCUUUGGCAUCAUCAUCUGUCCAAAAUUGUAAGGUCCUAGAAAAUAAGACCCAAGUGUCCUUAAUUUAUUUUUAUGGUGCUUACAUUAGCAUUAUAUGAUAUUAAACAUUUAAUAAUUUUUCAGUGUGAUGAUUAUGAAGAUGGGAAUCUAUAGUAGGCUGAUAAAUGUGAAUUUAAUAUAAAAAAAAAAGCUCACUGAAACUCUGGUGUGCUAUUCAUAGCACACAGCAGACUAUAUCAGUUGCUGAGAAGAGUUUAGUAUUAUGUGAAAGCGGUGAUGAAAAUGUUCAAAAUUGCCAACUUCCAAUGACUCAUAAAGUACAUAUGUCUCUUAAGUUGCUUACCUGCUUUUGCCCUUGGGCCAUGUUUCUGCUCUUAUGUAUCCAGCCAGAGUCUGAAAAGGCAUCUAGCUCAAAUCAAUCAAUUUUAUACAUACUGAUAGUUCCAGUAGUAAGGGUAGUCAAAGAGAAAGUAGUAAUGAUGUAAAUCAUAAUUUUGAGGGAUUAUUGUGGAAUUUAGUGCUUGAUGGUCAACUUGCAUUAGUAAAUCAGCAUUCAUUUGACUGCAUGGUUUGUAGAACUAAGGAAAAAUUCCUCUUCCUGUCAAAAGUUCUGUAUGGUUAGUCUGACUGUGGAAGAUUUUGUAUCCACAGGAGAGAAUUAAAUGGUUUGUCUUGCUGGACUAGCAGAGCUUGGGGGAGCAAGCCCUAAAGACAGAGCAGUUUCCUAGAACUGAAGGAUUUAACCUUGGUUCUAGCCCUCCCUUCUGUCAGCCUUGUCAGCGGGAAAACCGUCAAGGUUGAUUUCAAAGGAAUCAUCCUUGGCACUUUUCCCCCCUAAAACCGCUUAUCUGUCACUUCAUGGAAAUUGCCACUUGUCCUUAGUUGCAUGCAAUAUUAGCUCAGACAUCGCACACGUUAUUACCACAGAGAUUGAAUACACUCCCCCAUUAUGCCUAUCUAUAUAUUAAAUAUGUGUCUUAUAUAUGUCUUAUGUAUGUCUAUAUAAUAAAGAAGUUUCUUUGAAACUGUCUAGUAACUCAGCAGUUUCAGACUUAAGGGCUGAAACCAUAGCCUUUCAGUCAUUUAGCUGCCUUUCCCAACAGUGAUUGGGAAAUGUUAGGCUUGGAGACAACCUUCAGAAAUGCAUUUUUGCUAGCUCUACUAGUAUUACUUCUACUUAGAAGACCUACAUAUUUCUUAAUGCUUUUAAAUGUUUAUAAGGUGUGUUUAUGAUAACAUUUUUUUUUCUCCUUUAAAACAACUGAGGCCCUUUAAGCACAUGUGUCUUCCAGGCACAGAAUUAGAAUAUUUUCACUCCUGGGGUUUAUGUCUAUGAUAAAAUACUAUCACAUACUCUAACGUGAGCAGAAAUCAGGUUUAUAUCUCCUAUGAUCAGAAUACGUGUUAGACUUGAUGAGUUUAGGAGCUGAGAAAGAGAUAAUGAUGACACCUUGCACAGGCUGUGGUCCUGAAUCCCCACCUUUCUCAUCCAGGUCCACAAUCCUUUAUCUGCGAUUCAUUUUCAGUAACAAAUUUGGUGACCUAAACUGAUGAGAAACAAUGUAGUCCUUAUUCUAGUGGUCCCCUCUAAGUAAAUGGAAAUAUUAAUAUGUUGGAUCAUAAGGUGCUGCCCCAGGCCCAUUAGAGGUUCUUUGCAAAAACAUAUACUUACCACAUGAUUUCUACAGUUCAGAAAGGUCUAAGUUCUGAAAUAUAUCUGGCACCAAAGAUUUCUGAUAAGGCAUUGUGAACUACACAUUUCCUUACUAGUAAAUACAUUUAUAAAAUCAGUGGGGGCAGUUUCAUAUUAAAUAUUCUGUCACAUAUAUGGGUGGUUAGAUGUUUUCAUAACACCUUGUACAAAAUUAUAACACCAUAACAUAUAUGAAAGUGAAAGUGAAAGUCACUCAGUCGUGUCUGACUCUUUGAGACCCCAUGGACUAUACAGUCCAUGGAGUUCUCCAGGCAAGAAUGCUGGAGUGUGUAGCCGUUCCCUUCUCCAGGCAAUCUUCCCAACCCAGGGAUCGAACCCAGGUCUCCUGCAUUGCAGGCAGAUUCUUUAUCAGCUGAGCCACCAGGGAAGCCCAUAACAUAUAUAAUAGUUUUUGAUCUAGUAUCAUCUGGACCAAACUGACAACUCUUGCAGAGAGUAAUUUAUUGUCUGGUUAAACUGUUUAUUGUUUAUUUUCUGAUUAUAACAUGAUAUAUGCUUCUUGAAGAAAAUUGGAAAGUAUGUAGAAGUUUGAAGAAAAUAAAAAUCAUAUAUAGUUCCUCUUCUUAAAGAUAGACAAAGUUACUAUUAUAUUUUAUUGUCUUUCCUACGUACAUUUUAAAAAACAAGUAUUAAUUUUUGGCUGGAUUGGGUCUUAGUUGCGUCAUAUAGGAUCUUCCUUGUGGCAUAUGGGCUUCUCUCUAGUUGAGGUGCACAGGUUUUGUUGCCCUGUGGCAUGUGGGAUCUUAGUUCCCUGACCAGGGACCGAACCCACGUCCCUAGUCCAGGAAGUCCUGGACCAGUUGGGAGUCCACCAGGGAAGUCCCUUCUACGCAAAUUUAAAAACUAAAACUGAGGUCAUACCAAAGCAUUGUUUUCUUUUUUUAAAUUUUAUUGAUAUAAUUGACAUACUACAGUGUAUAGGUUUAAAAUGUACAUAUUGUCAAAUGAUUACCACAGUAAGUUUGGUUGACACCCAUCGAAAGCAUUCUUUUGAGUGGCUACAGAGUACCCCACAGGUAUGAAUGUAACAUGAUUUAUUUAACUGCUCCCUUAUUGCAGGGCUUCCCAAUUUUUCCCAAUUUUUUAAAUGAAUAGAGACACUAUUUCUAAAGCAUAUUGUUAACCACAGUGCUUAGCACACAGUCACUCAGUGAAAGGUACUGAAUUGAUUAAAGUUAUUUUCAUCUACUAAAAUUGUACCACAAAUAGGUUUAUUAGGUUUAAUUAUAUGCUUAGGGAGAAUCUGGAAGAAUGAGCUCACAUCUGGGUUGUAGAGGGAGCAGUUUAAACCUAGCCUGGGAGAUGCUGCAUAGGAAGAGGGGCGGCCGACUGUGUGAGCGGCAGAGAGGGGGAGCGUUGAGGAACUUCUGUGUUGAUUAGAGAUUUUGAAGUUUGUUAUGUAGUCUGUUUUCUCUGUUAAUUGCUCAUAGUUGUCCCUGUGAGAGCUGACAUGUGCUCUUUGAAUGUAAUUGAACAUCUGCUUUAGAACAAUGUGACAAGUACAUGUUAUCUUCUUAGAUGCCAGUAUGUGUUAAGAUGGACAUAGUCAUUUCUGGAAAUUUCCAAAUCGGAUCUUUGUGAACUCUUCCAGGAAAUGUGGUUAGGGCAGCCCACAGGACUCUCUCCCAAGCAGGGCCAAGCAGAUGGGAGCUGGAAGCACCAUUUUCACCCCAAAGGGAUGAAAACAAAGCCUAGCAAACUGAACUAGCAAUAUUUAACACUCUGCUGUUUUGAUGAUACCCACGUGGGCUCCACCUCCAGAAUGCCUAUUCCCAUACCAUGUACAACUAAAACUGCAUAUUUUGGUUCAUGGCUGGACCUAUUCCAUGUUCAGACUGUUAGAACACUGUUGUAAUAUUCAAUAAGCAAUUAGUGGUGCAAACACUGGUCAGUGUUCAGUUAAUUCAUUUGAUUUAAUUAAGCAUUUAAUUUUCUUCUUUUUUU
This is a long non-coding RNA of Dama dama (fallow deer), 18922 nucleotides long. RefSeq lists it as uncharacterized. The transcript has 4 exons. The record is from RefSeq and is a predicted model, not a curated record. Lineage: Eukaryota; Metazoa; Chordata; Mammalia; Artiodactyla; Cervidae.